AAUUUUUCAUUAAUAAAAAUGCAUUGUACAGUAAUCCACUUCAGUUUUGAUUAAAAAAAUUUUAAAAAGACAAGAAUUGAACCAAUGUCCUAUCAAAUGUGAUAGUGGUUGAAUGCUGAAUGCAUCAUGCUAUGAUGGCACUUAUUGGACUGCCAAUGUGACUCAGUAUAUAAGGAACAUAGAAAACUUUAAACUCUCCUUUUUUGGAAAUGUUUUGAGAGUUGCAUCGUGCUUUAUCAUGGAUUUGUGGGAGGGUUAUACUCAACAUAUAAAAAUUAGAGGGGCCAUGGUUAGCACUCCCCUUGUCAAAAGUAAAGUGGUGGAAGACUAAGGAUGAUUACAGUAGUGCAGUGGAUGAAUUGAUAUUUUUAAUUAUCAGCUCAAAAGAACAGGAAUACUACUACAAAAUACCUGUGAUCUGCUCUUGCUGCAGCUACAGGAACCCUAGUAUCUACUUCAGAAAGGAGAUCUGUAUGCUAGGUGGUCAGUAGUCUACAGACCCCUUAUCCCUGUCAUGGAGAAAACAUUUUUAAAAUAAGUAAGACAUUACAUCAAUUGGAAUGAAGCCAAUAGAGAUCUGUACUCUGUACAGAUAUGUCCUGAUUUGUUCUGCAAUGUGACUCAAGCUACAAUGAUGUGGAGAGAAUCAGGAAUAGAUUACUUAUCUCUAAUAUUUGAAAAAGAAUUUUAUUUUGAUGGAAGUGGUCUGAUAGUUUGGGGUAACAUUUUGUUAGGCAUCACACAAAUCUGUAUAUGCUUCCUAGAGGAAACCUGAAUACCAGAAGGUGUAUGGAUUUAGACAGCAUUGUUCACAUUUACAUAUAUAGGUGCAGUUGGAGAUUUCUUUGUUCUACUGAAUGAUAAUGCUUGAACACACUGAGCAGACUAGUACAGCAAUUUCAUGCUGCAGCUUUCAUGAUCAGAACAUCAUUCAUAUGGAUUGGCCAUUCAGGUCUCCUGAUCAGUUCUCUUGAGCACAUUUGAGAUGUUUUAGAUGUGUAGCUGUCCUCAAAACUUUGGAGAGCUCAGAAGUGCUUUGCAAAAACAAUAGUCAUUGCUACAAGCUAAAAUUGAUAAGGAAUAUCAUAAACAGCAUGAAAUAUUGUUUCAGGUCCUGAUUGCUGUGAGGGGGUCACCAUACUCCAUAUUGAGACAUUUUGGCUAUUUCAUUAUCAUGAACACUUAUUCCUGAUCCACACUAUUGAGUUGCUCAUGGUUUGAUCUCAGUUCUGUGAAUGGCUCUAUAGUGUGGAUCAGGCCUUAUGUGUUCUGUUUCUAAUUUUUGUAAGAAAUAAAAUUUUAUAUUUGCUAUUUUUAGUCUUUCUUUAAUGAAUAUUUUCACUAAAUUUUAGAAAAAAUAAUAAUAAUAUAAUAAUU
RNAcentral lists this long non-coding RNA (1377 nucleotides) under Androctonus crassicauda. Lineage: Eukaryota; Metazoa; Arthropoda; Arachnida; Scorpiones; Buthidae. The record is from RNAcentral.